This 21-nucleotide microRNA is filed under the name Oryza sativa (Asian cultivated rice). RNAcentral describes it as "osa-miR166i-5p". Its record names the gene osa-miR166i-5p. Lineage: Eukaryota; Viridiplantae; Streptophyta; Magnoliopsida; Poales; Poaceae. The record is from miRBase by way of RNAcentral.
AAUGCAGUUUGAUCCAAGAUC